UCGUGUCGUUAGUAUCACAUCACUUUGCCGUGAAACCUUUUGCCAGGUUUUUGCAUUCCCGAGCGUUCUUGCAGCUUUCAGGAUAGUGUAAAAAUUCAUGAUAAGUCUUGGUGCCACGAUGGAUAUUCAAAAAAGUGAGCCAAUUUCGGAUAAUUCGCCACCGAAUGGUAAUCCAAACGUUUCCGGCUCCAGUACCGCCACCAAAUCAAGUUCCUAUGUUCCGAUCAGCAGCACCACAUCCACCUCCUCGCAGGCGCCGAUCGACGAUUAUACAGCAGAUAGCAGGAAUGGAAACUGAUUCCUGAACCAUCAGUAGAGAACUUCUGCUUACAGCUGCGAGUCGCUGAACGGCCCAAUAUGUCCAUAAAAGGAAACCGGUUGAAAUCUAUCAAUCCUCCAGCAAGCGUUUCGGUUUGGAUAUUGGGAGUUCUCGGCAUGCCCCGAGAUAUUCAGAAGAUUGCAGAUCCCAUUCGACAUGUCCUAAAUUGAAUGUCUCACUAACUGUAAUAUGAAGGACCUCUACUGUGCGAGUGAAAAUAACGACAACGCCCAACUCAUCAACGGAUCUAAAGGCCGGCAGGUGUUAAAAGCUCUAAUUGGAUUUAUCAACUGUACAAUAAAGAUGGAAAAAUCCAGAAAAAGGAAAACGGAGGUGAUGCUGAUUCAUUUUUGAAACUGGAACAAAUUUGUUGCAGAUAGUCAACUUGGUAGAUUGUUUUACUAUCAGUGGCAACCGUUUAAUUGAUUGGUACACCAACAUAUCUGAUCAUCCGGCACAGUUACCACCUGGAAAGCUGCCACCAGUUACUAAAUGCCAUGCCGCCAAAGCUCCUCAUCAGUAUAGUUUUUGCUUUUAUUGCCAGCUUACUUGUUCUUCGCUGCUUUUGCUGCGAUCGACUCUCCUCCACCAUAUACGAAGCUUCUGCUGAAGGAUGUUCCGAGCCAUCCGGGAUUACUGCUUUCAGGUUCUGCUGCAGGUAAUACAGUAGUAGCCAAUCAUCCAGCUUCAUGGAAG
Long non-coding RNA from Armigeres subalbatus, 1015 nucleotides. RefSeq lists it as uncharacterized. The transcript has 3 exons. The record is from RefSeq and is a predicted model, not a curated record. Lineage: Eukaryota; Metazoa; Arthropoda; Insecta; Diptera; Culicidae.